Molecule: transfer RNA, 72 nt
Filed under: Brevibacterium sp.
Lineage: Bacteria; Bacillati; Actinomycetota; Actinomycetes; Micrococcales; Brevibacteriaceae
Description: tRNA-OTHER
Source: RNAcentral
GGAAGGAGUUGGUCUUUAAAACCAUUGAGCGUCAACCCCGCUCGGUGGGUUCGAAGCCCACGGCUUCCGCCA